Molecule: long non-coding RNA, 4238 nt
Filed under: Homo sapiens (human)
Lineage: Eukaryota; Metazoa; Chordata; Mammalia; Primates; Hominidae
Description: non-protein coding lnc-SLC25A32-3:19
Source: RNAcentral
GUAAGGGUGGCAAGGCGCCCGAGAGUCAGGGCUGGAGCUGAAGGUGGGUGACAGGGAGGGGGCGCCCAGGUGUCAGGACCUGAGGAGAAAGAGUGCGCGUAGCGGGAGGGCCCCGAAGUGUCGGGGCGGGAUCCUGGAAGGAGGGAGAACGUGAGGAGGGAGGAAGGGUCCCUGGGGUGUCAGGGAUGGGGGCCAGGAAAGGGGCAGAGAGCUGGAGGCCCACAAGUGGGGAUAGCGGGGGAGGGAGGUUGGAGCGAGUGGGGAACGCAGGUGGUGUCGAGGGCGGGGACAGGGCGAGGGGAGCGGGGCGUGAGGAAGUUGUGGGAAACCGCGCUGGACGCUGAGAAUGUGCGGAAGGAUCCUGAGGGGAGGACGCGAGACAGCGCGAGGAGAGACGAGGAGAGUUAGGGUUGGCCGGGAGGGUGCGAAGAUGAAGCGACCACUGGAGGCUGUGAGGGUGAAAGGAGCAAGAAUCGUCUAGAGACGGGCUGGGCCGGUGCUGGGGCCAAAGGCUUCUGUCUGUCAGGCCCUUUUUGGCGCUCACUCUAGAAAGAAGAGGCGGAGACGCGAAGAGAUCGGGUUAGAGUCAGAUUUUCGAAGCACGGAGAUGGGUUCAAUGAAAGGACGAGGAAAGACGAGAAACCAGCGGCCGGAGAACGGAGGUGGCCGCCGCCGUCCUUUGCUCUGCUCGGGGCUGGGCGCCGCCCGGAGAGCCCUCCCGGAGGGGGCGGGGCGGGGCCGGGUGAACAGAGCUGGGCGGGCUCGCCAGCUCUUCCAGGCGCCCUGGGCAAGCAAUGUGGGUGACUGAGCUCGGGUGUGUGUGCCUGUGUGUGUGUGUGUGUGUGUGUGUGUGUACGUACACAAGUGAGCGUGUGUGCGCACCCCACCCAGCCUUCCACACGCGCGCUGCUUAGUACCAGGCCAUAUUGUGGUCUGAUGAGUAACGUAAGCCUUUGGGGUUUAUAUUUACCUUCUUGAUGUGUAGUAAGUGCUCUCCCUCCUCCCUCUGUUCCCCAGGUACCGUCUGACUAGCUCCCCAUUUAAGAGAGCUGGGGACAGGCAAAGCAGCCCUGGAAGUCUCCUGUGAUUUCUAAGCUUAAAUGUCUAUUUUUCUUUUCUCCCAUGCCUUGUAAUUGGGAAGAGGGAAAAGUUUACUUAAGAGCUGUUUUUUAAAUUAUUACUAACUUGUUUCAAACAACACUCUCAUACUCCAGAUAAUUCAAUUUUCAUCUCUUUGGAGCUGAGCAAACCAGAUGAAAUUAUAUGAAUCCCAGUUUAUUUCAUUUUGUUGUAGAGUUCAACAAUUUUUAUGAAUUUCUAAUCCAACCUCAUCAUCCUAUGGGAAACAGAAGACCACCAAGAACAGCCAGCUGAGACAGAAUUUCACUGUGUUGCCCAAGCCAAUCUUAAACUCCUGGUCUCAAGCGAUCCUCCUGCCUUGGCCUCCCACUGUGCCUGGCCUAUGGACUCUGAAUUUUUUUAAAAGACUGGAAAAAACUUUUAUAAGAGAAUUGGAAAUUUGGACAGUAUCUUGGCAGUAACCUCCUCCAUAUAUUUCCUUGGCCCUCAGCUUACAUCUAGCAAAAUGACUCUACUGGUUCCAGGCUUCACAUGCAUACAACAUGGUGUUGGAGGAACAGAGAUGUUUUCUCUUCCUGGUGUUUUCCCAGACAUUUCUUAGCUGGCAUUUCAAACAAGGGUCCUGAAAUUCACCCUGGUUGGGUCGUGUUCUCCCCUUCCCAUUCCCCAUCCCCACCCUCAACCGAAAAAUGAUGUAAGCAGGGGAAAUUGAAUGUACCAAUGUUUGUUUUUAAACAAGCCACAGACCCCUCCCCAACUCCCCGACUGAAGCUUGAAGUGGGAUCAGCUUUCCCUAAAGUACUUGAGCUUAUGGUAAAGCAUAUAUGUUAUCCAAGUUAAAGUCUGGACGCUGUUAGUAAUGGGAAGGCAAGUAAUGAAUGUUAGCUAUGGAGCCAACAGACAGUGUCCACUCCAUUGUCUUUAAGGCCCAACUAAAGAUAACCUCUUUACCAAUGUCGGUUUAUUUAUUCAUUUAUUUAUUCAUUGAGAUGGAGUCUCACUCUCUCACCCAAGCUGGAGUGCAGUGGAAUGAUCUCAGCUGACUGCAAUUUCUGCCUCCCAGGUUCAAGCAAUCUCCUGCUUCAGCCUCCCAAGUAGCUGGGAUUACAGGCGCACACCACCAUGCCCGGCUAAUUUUUGUAUUUUUAGUAGAGAUAGGGUUUCACCAUGUUGGCCAAGCUGGUCUCGGACACCUGACCUCAAGUGAUCUGCCUGCCUCGGCCCCCAAAGGUGUGAGCCACUGCACCUGGCUACAAUGUCAGUUUCUAUAAAAACUGCCUUGACUUGUUUUGUUUGCUUGUUUUGUUUGUUUGUGUUUUAAUUUUUAUUAUUUUUUUUUAGAGACAGGGUCUCAAUCUGUUGUCUAGGCUUGAGUGCAGUGGUGCAAUCAUAGCUCACUGAAGUGUUGGACUCCCAGGCUCAAGCAGUCCUCCCACCUCAGCCUCCCAAGUAGCUGAGACUACAGGCAUGCACCACCCUGUCUGGCUAAUUUUUUAUUUUUAGUAGAGAUGAGGUCUCACUAUGUUGCCCAAGGUGGCCUCAAACUCCUGGCCUCAAGUACUCCUGUGGCCUUAGCCUCCCAAAGCUCUGGGAUUGCAGGUAUGAGCCGCCAUGCCUGGCCUACUGUAUAUUUUAUGCAUUUGAUAUAAGUCUUGCCUCCCUAAGUAUAUUACAAGUCCCUUGAAGUUAAAGACAUUAGAUUCCUACUCAGUGCUGAGCUGCAACAGAGAGCACUCAAUGAUGGAUAAAAUAGUUUUAGCAUGCAUUCAGCGAUAUAUAUUUAGAAAGUGGAACUAGGUGGUUGAAAAAAGUGUAUAGAUGGGUGGAAGGGAAUAUUACAGCUCUUAGAAUUGUCCUAAGGUGAGAGUAACAAAUUAAGCAAUGAGUCCCUGGGUUCACUCAAGCAACUUCACUCUCUAAAACAAGAGCCCACAGAAUCCCAUUUCUGCUUUCAGAAUGAGUUUGAGGCCAAUAUUAUUUCCAUUUUUUUUCUUUUUCUUUCUUUCUUUUUUUUUUUUUUUUUUUUGAGACGGAGUUUCACUCUUGUUGCCCAGGCUGUUUUGAUCUCGGCUCACUGCAACCUCUGCCCCUGGGUUCAAGCGAUUCUCCUGUCUCAACCUCCCAAGCUGGGAUUACAAGCAUGCGCUACCACACCUGGCUAAUUUUGUAUUUUUAAUAGAGACGGGGUUUCUCUGUGUUGGUCAGGCUGGUCUCAAACUCCCAACCUCAGGUGAUCUGCCCACCUUGGCCCAGCCUCCAAUAUGAUUUUCUAAUAGCUGUGUUUGAUGAUUAUAUUUAUUCCUCCAUCAGUAGCUUUUUUAGCCUUGAAAAUAUCUAUUUAAGUUUCUUAUUUCCUUUGGAUCUAUCAAAGUGUUUUUCCCCAAGUGGCACCUGGGAAAACAUAUUCUAUUCAUUUAUUUUAUAACUGUUCCCUUGACCUCUUUAUUGCUUCCCUAUUACAACCCAAGAUGCUCUUGUAAACCUGACUUAAUAUUGGCAGUCUUCAUCCCUUGCAAAUGGAAGUGAUGACAGACCCAAUACUUUGUGUAAAAAUAUUUUGCUAUUUCUAUACAAAAUAUUUUAUUAAUGGAAACCACAUGUUAUGUAUUUUACAUAUGUUAUGACUUGAAAUUUAUGUUAUGACUUGAAAUUGGGGAAUCUGAUAUGUCUCUAAUAAUAAAGGCUUCACAGUACAACUGUUGUUUGUAGAUUUACAGAUGGCUGGCAUUUUAAUUUUUUAAUUUAAAUUUUUAAUUCAAAUAUGAUUGACCUGAAAUAUUAACAAAAAUUAUCCUUGAAUUGUUGCACUGCAAAAUAAGAAAGCAAAAUCAGCUAUCUAUGAUGCAACAUUUUAUUUAUAAAUUAAGAUUGUUAGCACUCAUCUAUUGAUUUUUCUCUCUAUUAAACAUACUCCUAAUAAUAAAGGGAAGGAAGGAUCUUUGUAAAGUUAAAUUUACCGUAGCAAAGAAUAGAGGUGAUAAUUAAUAACAUGUUAAAACUCCUUUCUAAAAGCAGAUUCAAUAAACAGUAAGUGUUCAAAUAACUACUACAGUUUAUCUUUCUCAAACCUUGAAAAAGAACAUUCCAAGGUAUUAGUUCUAAUAGUUAUUCUGUCUUUUCCACUGGAUUAUUAUGAACUCCUUAAAAACAUGUGAAAU